GCAGGAGAAGAAGGAGAAAAUGCCGAAGAAGAUGACCAAAGACAAUCUCGUUGAGUACUCCUUUAAGAACAAGGGUACUGCGAAGACACAGCACACCCUUCCUCCAGCGCCAAUUCUGUUGGUGCAGAAUUUUGCCGACACCGAAAAAGCUGGAGUUGAGGGGAUCGAGGCCGCCUUCGAGAUCUGUAAGGGAAGUCUUAACCAAAGUUGGGGGUGCUCCAGCAAGACUCUCUGAUGCUCAAGUAAGUACUCUAUCUCAACAGAAAUGGAACACUCAAAUAGGAUUUUAGCAGAGUUUCAAGAUAGAGUCUAGAGAUUAGAAAAGAACGUAUCUGGGGGUCUCUUUUUAUAGAUGAAGAGCAUAACUGAUUGACAGUGACGUCUGUAACUGCCUGGUAGUGGGUCGUUCGGGGCCACGCAAAGUUUGUUAUGGAGAGUAAUGGCAUCAGGGGGCCAUUUAGGGCCACGUGGAUUUUGUUAUGGGGAGUGGAGUGGUAUCCGUUGUCGUAACUUGCCAGAGAGUUCGGGCCUGAUGGCUGAAGCUCGACUGGGACGUCUGGUGGAGCAGAAUGGCUCUCUGUCUCAGUAAUCUAAAAGAAGCUCUGAUGUUUCUGAGGUUGCUGACGAGUCCA
RNAcentral lists this long non-coding RNA (632 nucleotides) under Elaeis guineensis (African oil palm). RNAcentral describes it as "long non-coding RNA (EGUI_LNC072595)". Lineage: Eukaryota; Viridiplantae; Streptophyta; Magnoliopsida; Arecales; Arecaceae. The record is from RNAcentral.